CCUACGGGAGGCAGCAGUGGGGAAUAUUGCACAAUGGGGGAAACCCUGAUGCAGCCAUGCCGCGUGUGUGAAGAAGGCCUUCGGGUUGUAAAGCACUUUCAGCGAGGAGGAAAGGGUGUAAGUUAAUACCUUACAUCUGUGACGUUACUCGCAGAAGAAGCACCGGCUAACUCCGUGCCAGCAGCCGCGGUAAUACGGAGGGUGCGAGCGUUAAUCGGAAUUACUGGGCGUAAAGCGUGCGCAGGCGGUUUGUUAAGCGAGAUGUGAAAGCCCCGGGCUCAACCUGGGAACCGCAUUUCGAACUGGCAAACUAGAGUCUUGUAGAGGGGGGUAGAAUUCCAGGUGUAGCGGUGAAAUGCGUAGAGAUCUGGAGGAAUACCGGUGGCGAAGGCGGCCCCCUGGACAAAGACUGACGCUCAGGCACGAAAGCGUGGGGAGCAAACA
This 444-nucleotide ribosomal RNA is filed under the name uncultured Shewanella sp. RNAcentral describes it as "bacterial SSU rRNA". It matches the Rfam family "Bacterial small subunit ribosomal RNA", at positions 338 to 774 of the family's 1533-position model. The record is from RNAcentral. Lineage: Bacteria; Pseudomonadati; Pseudomonadota; Gammaproteobacteria; Alteromonadales; Shewanellaceae.